This 253-nucleotide ribosomal RNA is filed under the name uncultured bacterium. RNAcentral describes it as "partial 16S ribosomal RNA". It matches the Rfam family "Bacterial small subunit ribosomal RNA", at positions 524 to 776 of the family's 1533-position model. The record is from RNAcentral.
UACGUAGGUGGCAAGCGUUGUCCGGAUUUACUGGGUGUAAAGGGCGUGUAGCAGGGCUGACAAGUCAGAUGUGAAAUUCCGGGGCUCAACCCCGGACCUGCAUUUGAAACUGUUGGUCUUGAGUAUCGGAGAGGCAGGCGGAAUUCCUAGUGUAGCGGUGAAAUGCGUAGAUAUUAGGAGGAACACCAGUGGCGAAGGCGGCCUGCUGGACGACAACUGACGGUGAGGCGCGAAAGCGUGGGGAGCAAACAGG